Molecule: ribosomal RNA, 184 nt
Filed under: uncultured bacterium
Lineage: Bacteria
Description: partial 16S ribosomal RNA
Rfam family: Bacterial small subunit ribosomal RNA
Source: RNAcentral
GCCCAGACUCCUACGGGAGGCAGCAGUAGGGAAUCUUCCACAAUGGACGAAAGUCUGAUGGAGCAACGCCGCGUGAGUGAUGAAGGCCUUCGGGUCGUAAAGCUCUGUUGUUAGGGAAGAACAAGUGCGAGAGUAACUGCUCGCACCUUGACGGUACCUAACCAGAAAGCCACGGCUAACUACG